CUAACUUUCUAUAAUUUCAUAUUGAACUGUUUUGAUGAUUUGUAUACUGCUAUGCAUUGCUAAAUGUUUUUUUCAUUUCAGUAUAGCUGUGGUAAGUACACUAACUUUCUUUAAUUUUCAUAUUGAACUGUUUUGAUGACUUGUAUUCUGCUAUACAAAAUGUGCUUUUUUCAAUUUCAGGUCAGCAAUGGUAAGUAUAUUGUGUUUCUUUAUGUAUAAUUUUGUAUACAUAUUGUUUUUUUCAUCAUAGCAUGUUUUUUAUAUUUAUGCUUUGUGUAAGUAAAAUGUUCAUAAAUCAUUCUUAUCUUUAAACUAAAAAUGUAUUUUGAUAUGCAAAAUGUCUGUAUGAUUUCAGUUGCCAGAGGUGAGUACCAUUACAGUUGAAAAGUUAGUUUUGUUUAGUUAAAGUUUUGGUUCACAGUUCUGUUUAUUAUUUGGCAAAAUUUACAUGUAUGCAUUGAGUCUUGAUUUCAGCUCGAUUGUGGACUGAAGAAGAUUGCCAGCAGAGGGAUUGGAUACAAAAUACAAAGUAAGUACUGAGUUUCUUACUAAAAGUUUUGAGUUGUAUUCAUUGUGUGUUAAUAUGCUAUGAUUGCUAUGAACAUGACUUUUGUAUUUCAGCGAAGACAACAUAGGUAAGUAAAAUUGUUAUCUGUUUCAAGUUUACUGUUAUAGUUCAAUAUUGUGUUUAUAAAUUGUAAGUUGUACAAACACAUUCAAAAGUUUCUGAUCAUGCUUUCAAUUUCAUUUCAGCCCUACUACAAGACGAGUGUUUUCUACUACUAGACGUGUCAGGUUUACUUCCAGGCGAGCAGUGACAACAAGGCGCCUUUGUGGAAACAGCAAAACAAACAACUCUACUGCAAGACGAGCAGUAACAGCAAGGCGCCUGAACAUGCAACACAAUACAAAAAAUGCCAAUAUCCAAACCUUGAUGUGGACACCGAGUAGUCAAUACAUACGUGUGGCGUAUAGCUGCGACAAAACCGUGGGUCCAUCGCACCGAUAACUUGAACAUUGGCCCGUGUAUGGACAUCAGUGCAACUUUGUGAAUCCAUGUAUCUUUGUGAAUCCAUGUAACAUUGCGAAUGUGUGUCGAUCGAAAAAUGUGUACAUUCUGAACUGAAACGAACUCGGUGUUGCAAGUGGCAAGUGUUGACAGUGUGUAUGUUUAUGUUUAUGUUUUUACAUGAAAACUAAAGGAGAUUGUUCUCCUACCUUUUUUUUCCUUGUUUUAUUGCGCUGGCCAGCAAUAUUGAUGUAUUGAUGUAUGUGUUUGUGUUUAAACUAUGCAAUACCAAAAUCAAACAAAAAAUAAACAUUAACAGUCAUUAACUGUG
Dreissena polymorpha is the source of this 1340-nucleotide long non-coding RNA. RefSeq lists it as uncharacterized. Lineage: Eukaryota; Metazoa; Mollusca; Bivalvia; Myida; Dreissenidae. The record is from RefSeq and is a predicted model, not a curated record. The transcript is spliced from 3 exons.